RNAcentral lists this long non-coding RNA (255 nucleotides) under Bos taurus (domestic cattle). RNAcentral describes it as "long non-coding RNA NONBTAT022832". Lineage: Eukaryota; Metazoa; Chordata; Mammalia; Artiodactyla; Bovidae. The record is from RNAcentral.
CGCCAAGCCACCCUUCUCUCCCCCAGGUCGCCUUCAACUUUGGCUUAAUCACGACCAUCCUGGCGCCACUCCUGCCCGCUUCGCACUCCAGGAGUAGUUCCUGCGUGCUUAGUGAGCACUUUUUGCCUCAUUUCCAGUAAUGAGGUAAAAAUUCAUACUGUUAAAUGAUUAGCUUCCAAGAAGGGGUGACGGAAUCCUCAAGUAUCCUAGGACGGUGCGACAGGGGAGAGCCAUGUCUGGGGAAGGUGGUAGUGG